RNAcentral lists this long non-coding RNA (5097 nucleotides) under Homo sapiens (human). RNAcentral describes it as "non-protein coding lnc-PERP-2:15". Lineage: Eukaryota; Metazoa; Chordata; Mammalia; Primates; Hominidae. The record is from RNAcentral.
ACUGCUUUUCUGAGAGGCCAGGUGGCAGGAUGUGGGACGACUCCAGCUGACAAAGACAGUCUAACCGUGGGGUAGGGGCUGGAGCAGGGGCCAGCGACCCACGUCUACAUGCAUACUUCUCUUACACUGCUGCUACUGGAAAAGCUGAACCCCGCGCCAGGACCCCAGCCCCCUGCAAGGACCCGUGAGCGUCUGGGAAGCUGUCUCUGGGACUGAAGCCCCCCACCUCCGCCGGGCUGGCGGCCACUGCGGUACCCUACGCCCCGUCGGGCUGGUCCUGCACAAUUUGGGAAAAAGCCGCAGCGCUUCUGCAAGGUCUACGUGGCCAUGAGCAUGCAACGCUUGGCUCCAAAAAAGACACGAAAGGAGCAAAGCGCCAACGACCACCCGAUCGGAGGGCCCGAGGGGCGCCUCUUCACCAGUCAGCUGCAGCUUAAGUUCCGUGCAUUAUCUGAAAGGAACAGCUGGCUGGAGGUAUCCAGGGCUGUCACUCCAACCUCUGCAGCAGUGACCUCAACUCCCAGCACUUCAAAACCCAGACAGAAACGUCCAACAAACUCCCAGUCCAGGAGCGCUGCAAAACCAACGCCAGUUGUUUUUCUGCAGAAAAUCAUCAACUGUGGAGAAGAAGAAGGGAAAUAAGAAAGAAAGAAAACCCUAAAAACCACCCUGGCGCCCGGGCCCGCAGGCCUCGGGCCGGCUCUGAAAAGUUUGGGCUGUGCACGUGAUGAGCGCGUAGGCGGGAGCCCCAGACAGGACCCGGGCGGGCAUUUCGAGAAAAAGCAGCGGUGACAGCCUUUGGUCCCCAUCUCCAUUGUUCCUGCCAGCUCUGGACCCCAGGCUGCAUGAGACAGUUGGCCUGUUUCCUCUCAUCUCUGGCUCCAUGACUUCAAUCCUCCUGCAGCUUCCACUGCCCCUAUCUGGCUCAUGUCUUGCUGUCUGGUGUCAUGAACUGGGAGUGCAGUAAAGAGGAGUGACAAGCCUGAGGGGCCACGUUCAUACCUGCCACUGCCAACUGUCCUGAUGUAACUGCUUUGUCAUCUUGCCUGCCAGGAUUUGUGACAAGGGACCUCAGAUCCUUUACAUGUGUUAUCUGGACUGAAUGGAGAAACCCAAGACCCACCAUGGUGGAGGGACAACUGAAGUCCUUAGUGACCCAGUGAGUCAUAGUACCAGGAUCAAAGACCCUCCACUGGGAAGGAGGCAGUUGGUGUAAUGACAAGUACAGUUCCUUCUGUUGCACUUUGCCUGAAAGCGUGCGAUGCUGACAUCUCAAACUUGUCAGAAAAUCCACUAUCCCUGUGAAUUCUGUUUUAUUUCCUGUCAACACUUGGCUGAAACACUUGGGAAAGUAAUUUUAUUUUACAUCAUAAAUAUAAAUAUUCAAUUCUUAGUUUCAUUUAUGUUUCUGUGAAGGCUGCUAUUAAUGACCAAAUAGGAUGUUAGAAAGCCCAGAAAUGGGUGUUAUUAGGAACGAGCUAGAAAGCAGUGUUGGUUUUAGCAGUAAGCCCGGUGUUUCUGAGAUAAAUUAGUUCCUGUUACUUGGAAUAGUGCAAGCCAUUGUGAAAAUUUGCCUUGACAUUCCCCUUUCUCAUUUGUCCCUCAAUCCCUUCAGUCUAGUUUGGGGUCUCUAUAAUCCUGCUCCUUUGGCUGCCAGCCAUCUCCAUAAAAAAAGAAUUUGAAAGGCUUCCAUUCUUUCAGAGACCUGUUUCCCGGGACUGGCUGCAAGGGAGAGAUGCACUGACCUUCUGCCAGGUAUAGAACUAUUGAAUGGUACAGUUUGAGAUCUUCGAAACCAUCAGGACUGAUCAUUUUCUGGCUACUUUCUACAUAGGAAUCCUAGAGUUCCUUGGAGAGGAUAUGAAGGUUAUUCUCAGGCCAUGCAGAUGGGCAAGAAAGGAUGUGCGUCCAUGGUUCCUCUUCAAAUCCAACCAAAACAGCCUUGCUUCCGUUGGCUUUAUAUAAUACUGCAACUCUUGAUAAUCUGAUUUAACACAAAUUUCCUCAUUGAGUUUCUCCUCAUGAAGAAACGGCCUCAGUGAGGUAAAUCGGAAUGCACAGGAGCACAUAGCAGGUUAGUGCAGACCAGAAAUCAAACCCAGGCUUUCUGACUGCUCAAUAGACCACAAUCUACCAUGCUACCAUGGAAACUUUAAAACAGAUGAAAGUAAAAACAAACAAACAACAACUUAAAAAAACAAAAACAAAAACAAAAGCAAAACCCAGAGCCUCUCUAGGAAAUACCAACGUGCUUUUGCCAAGUGGGGUUUCUCUCACUUCAUAAGAGCAGUAAACACUAAACCAAGGGAAUGUGAAUUUAGAGGUUAGAAAAGAUAACCAGAGAUUUGGCCGUGCGUGGGGCUCAUGCCUGUAAUCCCAGCACUUUGGGAGGCUGAGGCUGGUGGGUUGCCUGAGGUCAGGAGUUUGAGACCAGCCUGGCCAACAUAGUGAAACCCUGUCUCUACUAAAAAUACAAAAAUUAGCUGGGUGUGGUGGCGUGCACCUGUAAUCCCAGCUACUAGGGAGGCUGAGGCAGGAGAAUCGCUUGAACUGGAGAGGUGGAGGUUGCAGUGAGCCGAGAUGGUGCCAUUGCACUCCAGCCCGGGCAAGAAGAUUGAAAUUCCAUCUCAAAAAAAAAAAAAAAAGAAGAAGAAGAAGAAAAGAUGCCAGAGAUUUGGCGGGGUGCCGGGCUCAUGCCUGUAAUCCCAGCACUUUGGGAGGCCAAAUGGACAGAUCACUUAAAGUUAGGAGUUCCAGAAAAGAUGCCAGAGGUUGGGCCUUUACAUUGUUUUGUAAAUUCGUCAAACCUUAAUCUUAUUUAACUUCCCCACCUAUACAAAAAUUAAUGCAGUAAUUGCUUUUUAAGGAAGCAUUCCAAAGGCCAAAUAAUUCAUAUAUGUCAAGUACCCUGGGAUUCAGGAAAGAAAAAUUCUCUAUAGCUCUAAAGCAAGGAUUAUAAUUUGAGGUUUCCUGACAGUUUUUUUUAAGAAAAGAAAUACCAACCUUUCUUUUCUGGGCCAAAUGCCAAGGUAGGUAAUAACCCCUUGCCCAUUUUCUUUCCCCAAGCUGUUUUAACUAGAUAAGAGCUCUGCCUUCAUUUCCUUUUGUGAACUGACUUGGGAUGUUGCCACAUGCCCUUCAACUACUGUCAAUGCUCUAGUUUGCUGAGUGCUUUCCCCUUCAGAAUGGAAAAGGUUUUGGCAUAAAUAUCUAGCUUUCUUCAAGGUACAAAAUGCUUUCCAAGGAGCAGAGGACAGAGGGAACAAACUUUCAUGUUUCCCAAUUGUAUUAGUCUGUUCUCAUGCUGCUAAUAAAGACAUACCCAAGACUGUGUAAUUUAUAAAGGAAAAAGGUUUUACUGACUCACAGUUCCACAUGGCUGGGGAGGCCUCACAAUCAUGGUGGAAGAUGAAGGAAGAGCAAAGGGAUGUCUUCCAUGGCCAGCAAAAAGAGAAUGAAAGCCAAGGGAAGGAGAAAACACCUUAUAAAAUCAUCAGAUCUCAUGAGACUUAUUCACUACCAUGACAACGGUAUGGGUGAACUGCCCCCAUGAUUCAGUUAUCUCCCACCGGGUCCCUCCCACAAAAUGUGGGAAUUAUGGGAGCUACAAUUCAAGAUGAGAUUUGGGUGGGGACAGAGCCAAACCAUAGCACCAAUACUAGAUCCCUCAGCUUCAAGGUGGCUCCAGUGAUCCUAAGAGGAUCAAGGAAGCCCUACCUCCCUGCUUGUCCUGGAUGUCUCUGACACAUGUUAAGGGAAAAGCAUUAAUAAAGUGCUCAAGAAACAAUUGUUCAAUAGGUCAGUCUUAUAGUCAAUACCUCAUCCCAUGCUCUGUCCCCUACUCUUUGAAAAACUGCCCAAAGAAACAAUGGAUCCACGGAGUCACAAAAACAGGGCAUCCAGUGACCCUCCCCAUCUUACCAGCAAUGUGACUUUCCCACAGUAUAACGACAGCAGUGCCCAGAGCCCAAUACAAGCAGGGCUCUACACUGAGACAGAGCUGAGUUCUAGUAGCAACUACCCUCCUUAUAGCAGUGUUAUUUUAGGCAAGUUUCUCAGCUUCUGGAAGGUUCUUUUCUCAGGCUUACAUACUUUUUACCCGAAAAGAUCUUGGAGUCGUCCAUAUCAGCACAAGCAAUCUACAUUAUUAGUUUUUUUAAUGGCUGCACAGCAUUCCAUGAUAUGGCUGUACCAUUACUUAACUAUCGAUGAACAUUUAGGCAGUUUCCAGUCUCUUUCUGCAGGAGCCAAUGCUGCAAUGUGGUGGGUCAUAACUUUUUCUUUUUUUCAAAUGUGGUCUCACUAUUUCUUCCAGGCUGGAGUGUAGUGGUAUGAUCACAGCUCACUGCAGCCUCGAACUCCUGGACUCAAACAAUCCUCCUGUCUCAGCCUCCAGAGCAACUGGGAGUACAGGUGUGUGCCACCAUGCCUGACUAAGUUUUUAAAUUUUUUGUAGAGAUGGGGUCUUGCUAUAUUGACCAGGCUGGUCUUGAACUUCUGGCCUCAAGAAAUCCUCCCACCUGGGCCUCCCAGAGUGCUGGGAUUACAGGAAUGCACCACUGUGCCCAGCCCUAAAUAACUAUUUUUAUUUCCCUUUCUGUAACCGCUCAUCUUUUGUGCAUUUUUCCUUGGGUAUUGGCCUUCUUAUCAAAGUUUAAGAACUGUUUAUAUAUAGGGAUUAACCCUUAGUCUGUUGUAUGAAUUGCAAAUAUACAUGUAUUUUUAUUUGUAUAUGCAAAGUUUGUCUUUUAUCUUUGUAUAUGGGAUAGUUUUCCAAACACAGUUUUAUUUUAUUUUAUUUUUCAUCUUGCAUGUCUUUCCAAAGUACCAAGCAGAGUUUUUUUAAAAGUUGUUUUAUGGCUUCUGGGUUUUUUAAGUCAUAUUUAGAAAGAUCUUUCCCACUCUGAAAUUAAAAAAAUAAAUAAAUAAAAUCUCCCAAUUAAAAAAAAUUUGUGACUUUGUUUUUCAUAUUUAAAUAUUUAUUCCAUCUGGAAUUUAUUUUAUUUUAAGCUGUAAAGUAGAGACCUCAUUUUAUUGUAUUUCUCCAUAUGGCCACCCAGUUGUUACAAUACCAUUUACUAAAUAAUACAUCAAUUG